GGGAUCGUAGGCUCGAAUGUGGU
This 23-nucleotide non-coding RNA is filed under the name Cricetulus griseus (Chinese hamster). The record is from RNAcentral. Lineage: Eukaryota; Metazoa; Chordata; Mammalia; Rodentia; Cricetidae.